RNAcentral lists this ribosomal RNA (252 nucleotides) under uncultured bacterium. RNAcentral's name for it is "partial 16S ribosomal RNA". It matches the Rfam family "Bacterial small subunit ribosomal RNA", at positions 355 to 597 of the family's 1533-position model. The record is from RNAcentral.
UAGGGAAUCUUCGGCAAUGGACGAAAGUCUGACCGAGCAACGCCGCGUGAGUGAAGAAGGUUUUCGGAUCGUAAAACUCUGUUGUUAGAGAAGAACAAGGAUGAGAGUAAAAUGUUCAUCCCUUGACGGUAUCUAACCAGAAAGCCACGGCUAACUACGUGCCAGCAGCCGCGGUAAAUACGUAGGUGGCAAGCGUUGUCCGGAUUUAUUGGGCGUAAAGCGAGCGCAGGCGGUUUCUUAAGUCUGAUGUGA